CAGACAGAGCAUAGAAGCUUGCAAGAGGAGGGAAGGAAAGGGGGAGAGAAAGCGGAGCAUCGGAUGCCGUUCAGUUCAAAAGCUGGGAUGCCUCUACUCCAAUAAUGGCGACGGCUCCAGCGUCCCUACGGGCUCCUCGUCCUCCUCGCCUGUAGCCCUAACCGUAGCCCCACAAAUCUCCCUCCCAUCUCCUCGCCGCCGGGCCCUCCCUCCUUCUCUCGCUCCUCUUCUUCAUCCUCCACCGCGAUGCCGCGAGAGGCCCCGCCGCCGCCGCCAGUGAUCGGUAAGGCCGGGAGGUACACCGUGUUCAUCACCCCGCCGCGCGCCCCCAAACCCUCCGAUGCUCCGAGCGUGAAUCCGCAGGCCGCCAGCCCUGUAAAGGUGGCUCCUUUGCCGCGGAAGGCUACCCCUUCGCCACCACCUCCGCCUCCGGUGCAGGUUCCACCCAUGCAGUUCGAGAAGCCGUCGACCAAGUCAUCGGGAUCCGUGUUCGGGUUCCUCUGGGACGCCAUCGCCAAAGUCCAAGAUGCGCAUUCCAGCCUCGAUGAGUACUUGGCGGACUGGUUCGGGUUGAACCAGUCCAAGUAUCAGUGGGCGUUGAACGAUUACUACGAGAACAACGGAAAGGCUUCGAUGGUUCUGUUUGCACUUGGAUUUCAAGAAGAGUGGCAUUUCCUUCUGAAGUGUCAAAGUUAAACGACGUUAGCUUGAAAAGAUAUUUGUGCAGAGCAAGAGAUCGGAAAAACAAGAGAAGGAAAGUGGUAAAGGUGGUAAACCAAAGGAUCUUGUUAGCAAAGAGCAAGCUCUCUGAUAGGUUAAUAAAUAGCAACCCUUUUCCAACAUUGUGUGGAGAUUAUGAAAACAAAGGCAUAUCUCAUCAAAUGCCUUCUGUACGUCUGAGGUUGAUUUUAUGCAUGUCUGCUAAUGACUAACGGGUGUUGCAGUAUAAUGUCAUCAAGCUGAUUAUGUAUAUGGGAGCCAACCAAAGAGGCUUAGGUUUACAGCAAAUGCAUGUGCCACCAGUUCAAAAUUUUCACCUGUUAAGCAUGCUUGCUUUUGCUCUUUGUAAACCAGUAUCGAAGUCGUCUUGUAAAAGCAUUAUGUUGUAAAGCAUAAUGCUUUACCCACGUCCUUGUAAAUGUAUGGAAGUUGUUCGCAUGUCAAACUUACUUUAUUAAUGUCUAUGUCGCUUUCCAUUAGUUUACUAUUA
RNA transcript from Musa acuminata AAA Group (dessert banana), 1210 nucleotides. It is a transcript of the gene named anther-specific proline-rich protein APG-like, with no coding region annotated. The record is from RefSeq and is a predicted model, not a curated record. The transcript is spliced from 5 exons. NCBI's taxonomy places the organism in Eukaryota, Viridiplantae, Streptophyta, Magnoliopsida, Zingiberales, Musaceae.